This 83-nucleotide transfer RNA is filed under the name Sandaracinaceae bacterium. Its description in RNAcentral is "tRNA-Leu". It matches the Rfam family "tRNA". Rfam says of the family: Transfer RNA (tRNA) molecules are approximately 80 nucleotides in length. Their secondary structure includes four short double-helical elements and three loops (D, anti-codon, and T loops). Lineage: Bacteria; Pseudomonadati; Myxococcota; Polyangiales; Sandaracinaceae. The record is from RNAcentral.
GGCCGAGUGGCGGAAUGGCAGACGCGGCGGAUUCAAAAUCCGCUAUCCGAAAGGAUGUGCCGGUUCAAGUCCGGCCUCGGCUA